GAAACUGCGAAUGGCUCAUUAAAACAGUUAUAGUUACUUGAUAGUCAGCUGUUAUACGGAUAACUGCGGUAAUUCUGGAGCUAAUACGUGCACAAAGACCUGACUUCUCGGAAAGGUCGUGUUUAUUAGAUACAGAACCAAUCCCCUCGGGGUUUUUGGAUGAUUCAUAAUAAAGGAACGGAGCGCAUGACUUGUGUCGGCGCUGUUUCAUUCAAGUUUCUGACCUAUCAGCUUCCGACGGUAGGGUAUUGGCCUACCGUGGCAUUGACGGGUAACGGAGAAUUAGGGUUCGAUUCCGGAGAGGGAGCCUUAAAAACGGCUACCACAUCUAAGGAAGGCAGCAGGCGCGCAAAUUACCAAUCCUGAUACAGGGAGGUAGUGACAAGAAAUAACACAGAGAGUGCUUAUUGCAUUUCUCUUUGGAAUGAGUAGAAUUUAAAUCUCUUUUCGACUAUCAAUUGGAGGGCAAGUCUGGUGCCAGCAGCCGCGGUAAUUCCAGCUCCAAUAGCGUAUAUUAAAGUUGUUGCGGUUAAAAGCUCGUAGUUGGAUUUCUGUCAGAAACUCUCGGUCCACGCUUUGCGUGAGUAUCUGAGUAGGUUCCGGCAUCCUCUAGAGGAUCGUUUCUGCGCUUGAUUGCGUGGAGCGGAACUCUAGACUUUUACUUUGAGGAAAUUAGAGUGUUCACGGCAGGCAAACGCCUUGAAUACAUUAGCAUGGAAUAAUAACAUAGGGCCUUGGUUCUAUUUUGUUGGUUUCUAGAGCUGAGGUAAUGAUUAAUAGGGAUAAUUGGGGGCAUUUGUAUUAACGCGUCAGAGGUGGAAUUCUUGGAUUGCGUUACGACAAACUACUGCGAAAGCAUUUGCCAAGGAUGUUUUCAUUGAUCAAGAACGAAAGUUAGGGGAUCGAAGACGCUUAGAUACCGUCGUAGUCUUAACCAUAAACUAUGCCGACUAGAGAUUGGAGGUCGUUUUUUUUAUGACUCCUUCAGCACCUUAUGAGAAAUCAAAGUUUUUGGGUUCCGGGGGAGUAUGGUCGCAAGGCUGAAACUUAAAGGAAUUGACGGAAGGGCACCACCAGGAGUGGAGCCUGCGGCUUAAUUUGACUCAACACGGGGAAACUACCAGGUCCAGACAUAGUGAGGAUUGACAGAUUGAUAGCUCUUUCUUGAUUCUAUGGGUGGUGGUGCAUGGCCGUUCUUAGUUGGUGGAGUGAUUUGUCAUUGCUUGAUUGCGGUAACGAACGAGACCUUUGCAUGCUAAAUAGCUGCUCGUAUCUUCGGAUAUUAGCUCAGCUUCUUAGAUGGACUCCGGGCGUCAAGCCCGUGGAAGUUAGAGGCAAUAACAGGUCUGUGAUGCCCUUAGAUGUUCUGGGCUGCACGCGCGCUACACUGAUGCGUUCAACGAGUGUACACCUUACUCGAUAGGGUUGGGUAAUCUUUUGAAAACGCAUCGUGAUGGGGAUAGAUUAUUGUAAUUAUUAAUCUUCAACGAGGAAUUCCUAGUAAGGGCUGUCAUCAGACAGUCCUGAUUACGUCCCUGCCCU
This 1542-nucleotide ribosomal RNA is filed under the name uncultured eukaryote. RNAcentral's name for it is "SSU rRNA". It matches the Rfam family "Eukaryotic small subunit ribosomal RNA", at positions 83 to 1659 of the family's 1831-position model. The record is from RNAcentral.